AGACAAAAUUUGGAUGCCACAUGCAGUGCGGCUCAGUGCAAUACGCCGACGCCCGAGGCACUCAUGUAGUAAGUGAGGUGAGGAGCACAGGGGCAUGAAAUUAACCGGCAUCACGAAUGCAUGCCGUCACGUUGAGGAGGUCGACGUUGCUUGAACCUUGCCCGAGGAAGCCCCACUCAAUUAUGCGUUUGACACAGGACGGUUUAUUCCUGGGAUCGUCGCCGAACGUGUGUGAUUUAUUUCAAGAGGUCAAGCAAUUAGUCACACAUCGUUGGAAGCGAUGCUGCGGUGCCGAAGUGAUACAAUGAGUGUAAGAUGAACCUUUCUCGUAAGACUCGAAGAAGCAAUCUGUGUGUUUCCAUUUCGGUCGGAAAGAAAGAUGAGGUCGCCCUUGGCCAGAGGAAGCCUUCGUCAAAUUAGGGUUUGGUUCUAAAAUGUUCGAUGGUUUUUUAGGUACUAUGAGGAGCUCUAGCAUGUUAGUAUACUAUACCCAUGACUCUUUUUCUUUGUUUUUUUAAAAAGUAGCUUUGGCCAAUUAUUCAAAACUUUAUAUGUUAUUAAAACUAAGAUAAUAAUAUAGGUAGGGGAAUAUUAAAUAGGCUCAUGCUUUUACUUAAUUGAUCCACAUAUCAUGAAGAAAAAAAAGAAAAAAGAAAAAAGAAAUGAAGUCUAGAU
RNAcentral lists this long non-coding RNA (675 nucleotides) under Physcomitrium patens. RNAcentral describes it as "long non-coding RNA (PPAT_LNC003545)". Lineage: Eukaryota; Viridiplantae; Streptophyta; Bryopsida; Funariales; Funariaceae. The record is from RNAcentral.